RNAcentral lists this ribosomal RNA (777 nucleotides) under uncultured Neocallimastigales. Its description in RNAcentral is "partial large subunit ribosomal RNA". It matches the Rfam family "Eukaryotic large subunit ribosomal RNA", at positions 24 to 635 of the family's 3401-position model. Lineage: Eukaryota; Fungi; Neocallimastigomycota; Neocallimastigomycetes; Neocallimastigales. The record is from RNAcentral.
UAUGUGAUCGUCUCUCGCAUAUCAAUAAGCGGAGGAAAAGAAACUAACAAGGAUUCCCCUAGUAACGGCGAGUGAAGCGGGAAGAGCUCAAAUUUGAAAUCUUAAAGGGUUUCCCUUUACGAAUUGUAGUUUAAAGAAGUGUUUUCUGUUGAGGUUUUGGUAAAAGUUCUUUGGAAUAGGACAUCAUAGAGGGUGAGAAUCCCGUAUUUGACCUUUACUUUCAACUUUGUGAUACCCUUUCAAAGAGUCGGAUUGUUUGGGAAUGCAGUCCAAAAUGGGUGGUAAAUUGCAUCUAAAGCUAAAUAUUGGCGAGGAGACCGAUAGCGAACAAGUACCGUGAGGGAAAGAUGAAAAGAACUUUGAAAAGAGAGUUAGACAGUACGUGAAAUUGUCAAAAGGGAAGCGUUUGACACCAGUGUUGUUUUUCUGAAAAUCAAUUAAAGAACUGUUUAUGCUAAGCUGUUUAGACUUUAUCAGCUAAUCUGUUUAGUUUUGAGCUUUUCUUUAAUGCAGCUUUUCAGUUAACAAGUCAACAUCAAUUUCUUUUGCUGUAAAAAAGCUUGAGGAAGGUGGCUUGAGAUUCGUCUUAAGUGUUUAUAGCCUCUUGCCUAUGCAGUCGGAGAGAUUGAGGUCUGCAGCGUAGAUCCUUCGGGGCUAAAUGCAUUUGUGCUAAGUUAUAGCAUUUUAUAGACAACUUGUUGACUAUGAUUUGUCUUGUAGCUUACUCGCUUAUGUUAUUUUACCUACGCUUAGGAUGUUGAUCUACAGAGCGAGAGU